GACGAACGCUGGCGGCGUGCCUAAUACAUGCAAGUAGAACGCACAGUUUAUACCGUAGCUUGCUACACCAUAGACUGUGAGUUGCGAACGGGUGAGUAACGCGUAGGUAACCUGCCUGGUAGCGGGGGAUAACUAUUGGAAACGAUAGCUAAUACCGCAUAAUAUUGAUUAUUGCAUGAUAAUUAAUUGAAAGGUGCAAUUGCACCACUACCAGAUGGACCUGCGUUGUAUUAGCUAGUAGGUGAGGUAACGGCUCACCUAGGCGACGAUACAUAGCCGACCUGAGAGGGUGAUCGGCCACACUGGGACUGAGACACGGCCCAGACUCCUACGGGAGGCAGCAGUAGGGAAUCUUCGGCAAUGGACGAAAGUCUGACCGAGCGACGCCGCGUGAGUGAAGAAGGUUUUCGGAUCGUAAAGCCCUGUUGUAAGAGAAGAACGGGUGUGAGAGUGGAAAGUUCACACUGUGACGGUAUCUUACCAGAAAGGGACGGCUAACUACGUG
RNAcentral lists this ribosomal RNA (505 nucleotides) under uncultured bacterium. RNAcentral describes it as "partial 16S ribosomal RNA". It matches the Rfam family "Bacterial small subunit ribosomal RNA", at positions 28 to 507 of the family's 1533-position model. The record is from RNAcentral.